ACGGACGGACAGUCCGAGGUGGUUAACAAGGUCAUUGCCAUGUAUUUGCGUUGUGUGACAGGUGAUCGGCCUCGCGCUUGGGUGGACUGGCUUUCUUGGGCGGAGUACUGCUACAACACCUCUUAUCACUCCGCCCUGCGCGCUACGCCAUUUGAGGUGGUCUAUGGGCGACCACCCCCACCUAUCCUUCCGGUGGAUCCGGAGACAGCUCGGACGGAGGUUGCAGGUGAACUCAUCCGCACUCGUGACGAGAUGCUUGCUGAGGUUCGUCAGCGUCUCCUUCAGGCCCAGCAGUUGGCCAAGCACUACUACGACGAUCAUCAUCGCGAGGCGGAGUUCGCGGUGGGUGAUUGGGUGUGGCUGCGUCUUCUCCACCGCUCUACGCAGUCACUCGACCCGCGAGCAAGGCGCAAGCUC
Molecule: ribosomal RNA, 417 nt
Filed under: Triticum aestivum (bread wheat)
Lineage: Eukaryota; Viridiplantae; Streptophyta; Magnoliopsida; Poales; Poaceae
Description: partial small subunit ribosomal RNA
Source: RNAcentral